CGGAUUGCAGGCUGCAACUCGCCUGCAUGAAGUCGGAAUUGCUAGUAAUCGCGGAUCAGCAUGCCGCGGUGAAUACGUUCUCGGGCCUUGUACACACCGCCCGUCACACCAUGGGAGUCGGUAACACCCGAAGUCUGUAGCCUGACGCAAGAGGGCGCAGCCGAAGGUGGGAUUGAUGACUGGGGUGAAGUCGUAACAAGGUAUC
This 205-nucleotide ribosomal RNA is filed under the name uncultured bacterium. Its description in RNAcentral is "partial 16S ribosomal RNA". It matches the Rfam family "Bacterial small subunit ribosomal RNA", at positions 1294 to 1500 of the family's 1533-position model. The record is from RNAcentral.